This 397-nucleotide ribosomal RNA is filed under the name uncultured Oscillospiraceae bacterium. RNAcentral describes it as "bacterial SSU rRNA". It matches the Rfam family "Bacterial small subunit ribosomal RNA", at positions 355 to 767 of the family's 1533-position model. Lineage: Bacteria; Bacillati; Bacillota; Clostridia; Eubacteriales; Oscillospiraceae. The record is from RNAcentral.
UGGGGAAUAUUGCACAAUGGGCGAAAGCCUGAUGCAGCAACGCCGCGUGAGGGAAGACGGUUUUCGGAUUGUAAACCUCUGUUUUCGGUGACGAACAAAUGACGGUAACCGAGUAGGAAGCCACGGCUAACUACGUGCCAGCAGCCGCGGUAAUACGUAGGUGGCAAGCGUUAUCCGGAAUUACUGGGUGUAAAGGGAGCGCAGGCGGGAUAGCAAGUCAGCUGUGAAAACUAUGGGCUCAACCCAUAAACUGCAGUUGAAACUGUUAUUCUUGAGUGGAGUAGAGGCAAGUGGAAUUCCUAGUGUAGCGGUGAAAUGCGUAGAUAUUAGGAGGAACACCAGUGGCGAAGGCGGCUUGCUGGACGACAACUGACGCUGAGGCUCGAAAGCGUGGGGA